AUUGAACGCUGGCGGCAGGCUUAACACAUGCAAGUCGAGCGUGAAAGGGUUUCGGCCUGAGUAAAGCGGCGGACGGGUGAGUAAUACGCAGGAAUCUACCUGGUAGUGGGGGAUAACGUUUCGAAAGGGGCGCUAAUACCGCAUACGUUCUGAGGAAGAAAGCGGGGGACCGCAAGGCCUCGCGCGAUUGGAUGAGCCGACGUCGGAUUAGCUAGUUGGUGGGGUAAAGGCCCACCAAGGCGACGAUCCGUAGCUGGUCUGAGAGGAUGAUCAGCCACACUGGAACUGAGACACGGUCCAGACUCCUACGGGAGGCAGCAGUGGGGAAUAUUGGACAAUGGGCGCAAGCCUGAUCCAGCAAUGCCGCGUGCAGGAUGAAGGCCUCGGUUGUAACGUAGCUUUGUUACGGUAACGAAACGGUUACGUUU
Molecule: ribosomal RNA, 428 nt
Filed under: uncultured bacterium
Lineage: Bacteria
Description: bacterial SSU rRNA
Rfam family: Bacterial small subunit ribosomal RNA
Source: RNAcentral